GAUUGGGCAAUUACCCCUAGCCAUAUGCCCGAUGUUCCACGUGGGACUUAAAUGAAACAAUUAUAAAAUUAUAUGGCUAAAUUAAAAUAAAAGAAAAGAAGGAAAAAGGGGCUAAUUGUAACGAGCUGCAAAAACGGAGGGACCGCGCACGAAAUAACCCAUUUCAUGAAAACGCGCGGACCCCCUGGUGCGGGUCGGAUCGCGCGCGGGUCAUGGUGGGAUAAAACGGCGCCGUUUUGAUAGUUUUAUUUAAACUAAAAUUUUUACAAAAAAACAAAAAAAAAUUUCAUUUGCAGCUAGAAAUAAAAAAAACUAACACUUUCUCUUCUCUGUUAGGGUUUCAAAAUCCCUUUUGGGCCGUCGCCAUUUUGACCCCUCUCGCCGCUGUUCUACCGCGAUCGGCGGUCAGGCGCGGCUAAGCCGCUUCAAUCUCCCUGAAGCCGAUUUGGAGGGGGUUAGUGGCCGGUGGCAGAGAGCAGGUGCGGUGGCAGAGCAGGUGGACAGAGGGUCGGUGGCUGAAGACCCCAGGUGCGGCGCACCUAGGGUUGCUGCUGCUUUUUCUUUUUCUUUUCUGAACAUGGGGCAGGGUAGUUGGGUGUAUUGGGUUUGGGCUUUUAGAUUUUGGGCUUAUGGUAUGGUUUGGGUAUUGGGAGUUUGGGCUAUUGGGUAAAUUUGGGCUGUACAUAAACAAUUAUUUUAAUAGGAGUAAGUAAAUUACAAAAAAUGUAAAUUUAUCAUAGGUCAAACUGAAUUUUAGAGUGAACUUCAAUGUAAUUGAUUACAAAAAUUUUAAUCUAAAUUUCAUUAAGAAUUAACAA
This is a long non-coding RNA of Gossypium raimondii (Peruvian cotton), 818 nucleotides long. RefSeq lists it as uncharacterized. Lineage: Eukaryota; Viridiplantae; Streptophyta; Magnoliopsida; Malvales; Malvaceae. The transcript is spliced from 2 exons. The record is from RefSeq and is a predicted model, not a curated record.